GUCUACAGCCAUGUCACCUUGGACAUGCCUGAUCUUGUCUGAUCUUGGAAGCUAAUCAGGGUCAGAUAUGGUCAGUAUUUGGAUAGGAGGAAUCUGCAGCUUAAUUGCUCAGGGAA
Molecule: ribosomal RNA, 116 nt
Organism: Ictidomys tridecemlineatus (thirteen-lined ground squirrel)
Lineage: Eukaryota; Metazoa; Chordata; Mammalia; Rodentia; Sciuridae
Source: Ensembl